AGUGAACGCUGGCGGUAGGCCUAACACAUGCAAGUCGAACGGAAGCACAGUAAUAGCUUGCUCUUACGGGUGGCGAGUGGCGGAUGGGUGAGGAAUACAUCGGAAUCUACUUUUUCGUGGGGGAUAACGUAGGGAAACUUACGCUAAUACCGCAUACUACCUACGGGUGAAAGCAGGGGAGCUUCGGAGCUUGCGCGAUUGAAUGAGCCGAGGUGGGUUUAGCUGGUUGGCGGGGUAAAGGCACACCAGGGCGACGAUCCGUAGCUGGUCUGAGAGGGGGUAGCGCGACAGUGGGACUGACACACGGUCCAGGCUCCGACGGGCGGCCGAGAUGGGGACUAUUGGACGAUGGGCGGAAGCCUGCUCCAGCCGUACCGGGUGGGUGAAGAAGGCCUUCGGGUUGGAAAGCCCUUUUGUUGGGAAAGAACAGCAGCAGGUUAAUACCCCGCUGUUCUGACGGUACCCAAUGAAUAAGCACCGGCUAACUACGUG
Molecule: ribosomal RNA, 492 nt
Filed under: uncultured bacterium
Lineage: Bacteria
Description: partial 16S ribosomal RNA
Rfam family: Bacterial small subunit ribosomal RNA
Source: RNAcentral